GGGAAGAUAAUGACGGUACCUGGAGAAGAAGCCACGGCUAAUCUCGUGCCAGCAGCCGCGGUAAGACGAGAGUGGCAAGCGUUAUCCGGAAUUACUGGGCGUAAAGAGCGCGUAGGCGGUUUUGAAAGUCAGGGGUGAAAAGUCUGGGCUCAACCGAGGCCUUGCCUUUGAAACUUCAAGACUAGAGUACAGGAUAGGAGGGUAGAACUACCAGUGUAGCGGUGGAAUGCGUAGAUAUUGGUAGGAACGCCGAUGACGAAGGUAACUCUCUGGACUGAUACUGACGCUGAGGUGCGAAAGCUAGGGGAGCAAACAGGAUUAGAUACCCUGGUAGUCCUAGCUGUAAACGAUGGAUACUGGGUGUGGGCCAUAGCAUGGUCCGUGCCGAAGCUAACGCGAUAAGUAUCCCGCCUGGGGAGUACGGUCGCAAGAUUGAAACUCAAAGGAAUUGACGGGGACCCGCACAAGCGGUGGAGCAUGUGGUUUAAUUCGACGCAACGCGAGGAACCUUACCAGCUCUUGACA
RNAcentral lists this ribosomal RNA (525 nucleotides) under uncultured bacterium. Its description in RNAcentral is "bacterial SSU rRNA". It matches the Rfam family "Bacterial small subunit ribosomal RNA", at positions 442 to 986 of the family's 1533-position model. The record is from RNAcentral.